Molecule: long non-coding RNA, 4260 nt
Organism: Amphiprion ocellaris (clown anemonefish)
Lineage: Eukaryota; Metazoa; Chordata; Actinopteri; Pomacentridae
Source: Ensembl
CACUACAAAGAUUAUGUUUUUUCAGUCAGGGUGUAAUCAUUGUUGCACUUACUGUACAGUUUCCAUAUCAAAGUAUUGUUUUAUACCAGUCUUUUGUAUGCAGGAAUAAAUAUGUACAUUACGCAACAACAUCUUAUGGAUGAAUAACAUUUGUAAAGCAGGUUUACAUCUAAUGCAACUUUAUCUUCUGUAACAAAGCUGCUGAAGAGGAUUAUGCUGCUGUUGCCACAGAAACUUAGUGACCAGUAGAAAGAGAGAGUGGAGAGGGGUGGGGAGUCCACGAGGACAGUAGAAGCAGGCAGAGAGGUGAUUCUACUAGUAGACAAUCCUUCACCCAAACAGCAGAUACUGUUUUUUUUUUGAAGGCAACACAGAUUUUCAAGAGUCCACCCAGUCCGCCACCAUGCUGCACCCUUUAAUUAUCGCCAUCAUGACCGUCAACACCUCCCUAACCGUCGUCUACUGGGGCUUCAUCUUGAGCGAUGUCUACUUCAAGUGGAUAAUGGAGCCAGAAGACAAACCCAAAAAGGUGGUCACCCCGGCCUGAGGCAGUCGGAGUCGAUAUGGAUCUAGCUGACUGAAUGACUGGAAGUUAUUUCGCUUAGGACUAGUCUGCAAGAGCAGUUCAGCUUCUAGUGCUUACUGUGGGGUCGCAUUUACAUUCACCCUGCUUUUUAUUUUUCUUUCUUUUUUUUUACUUGGAGAAGACUUGGAAAUCCACCUUAACUUAAUAAAAUACUAAUCUAAGUGAAUCCUGCAAGUAAAUGAGGAAGAAGUCCCUCUUACAGAACCGUCUCCAUACAAUACACACCAGUUUGGAAGUCCUUUCAUCCAGAAGAGAAGAGCUACAGAGAAAUUUCAUGUUUUGACUUCAGACUGGAUGUUCGGGCCCAAACCAGUGGAGGAUGACUCAGAGGGAGGACGAGGAGAAAUAGAGGAAGAGCGGUGCCUCAGCAAUCCCACUAAGCAGCUGGACAAUGACAAGCUGAGGAUGGAGAAAGAAAAGGACGGACCGCUGCCGGGUUUCCACCAAGGCCGUCCGUUCACUCCUCCUCCUCUGAGAAGCGCCAUUGCUCCAUCAUGCCCUGGAGAUAAAAGAAUAUCUAUCCAUAGUGUAACCUUUGCCUGCCCCGCCGCCCCUUACGUCACUUCCCUUUGAGUUCUCAUCACUUUGUCACAGCAGCAGUUCAUAUCAGUUUUUAUCAUUUCGGUGCAGUGAUCAGUGUUUUCUUUGCUGUAAUAGAGCUUUGUUUUAUGUAAAAGCAGAUACUAUAGGUAUAGCUUGUACUGAUUUUACAAGAAAAUACUUUCUUUCAUCUCUUUUUAAAUGUAAACGUGGUCCAGAUUAAUUAUAUUCUACUGUCUUAAUAUUCGCUACCCAGUUUGUCAAGCUACAAAAUGUAAAUGAAAUAUGUAAAAAGAUGUUUAUGUGAGAACGCAAUGUUGACUUUGUGUAUAAGACCAGGCUGAACAUGUUGCAAAAUAUGAAGUAUGAACUGACUUUUUAAGCAUUUUCCACACUGACCAGUGAAACCGUCCCCAUUAUAUGACGUGCUGAUGUGUUCCUGAAGUAAACAUACAUCAGUUUUCCUGUUCUGGUGUUGGACUAAGCUUCUCUCAAGUAAACAACUGAAACAUACAAGUGUGUUGUUGUGUCUUGUCUGCUUUCGUUAAUCCAUCUUACCUUCUUCUAAUACCUGGUUGUGUCAGCGGCAAUGACCUUAUUUAUAAAUGCCAAGGAUUAUUGUACAACAGCCAUUUUAAAUACUGGUCAAUGCUGAUGUAAGCAUGAAAUACAUAGAUAGAUAGAUAGAUAGAUAGAUAGAUAGAUAGAUAGAUAGAUAGAUAGAUAGAUAGAUAGAUAGAUAGAUAGAUAGAUAGAUAGAUAGAUAGAUAGAUAGAUAGAUAGAUAGAUAGAUAGAUAGAUAGAUAGAUAGAUAGAUAGAUAGAUGUAGCAGGUAAAUGCUCCACUUCAUUGAGAUCCUGUACUCACAGUCAUUCUUCUGACCUUGAGCAGUCUACCUCAAGCCGCUGCAGCUAAUCUAAUUUCCUUCUGCGUAGCUCCACAGACAGACAGAUAAGGAGUUUGUUCAGGGAAACAAAAUGAAAAACUCUUCAAGGUGCGAUAUAGCUAUAUGAAUAGAACGCGCUGUAAGAUUAAAUCUUUAUGCUGCGUUCUUAAUACAGCGAUGACAUUGAGACAUUAAGUGGACUCACUGGCUGACAGCAGAGACUACGAGGCUGCGAUGGAUCCACCAGAGGACAGUUUAAACGUUCGUUUCAAGGAGGACGAUGGCACUGUGUUCUUUGAAUCCUACAUCCCACCUUCUCGGGAUGCUAUCCACCUGCCUACCUACGUCCUCUACCUGAUCAUGGCCGUCUUCAUCGUGCUGUCUGUUCUUUAUGCCAUCAUCGGCCACCUCAUCAAAGACCUCAUCCAUGACUGUGCAGACUGGCUGUUCGGGGAGCAGCCAGAGGAAGUGGUGGUGAACUAUUGUGAGGCCAAGGAUAAGUUCAUGGCAGAUUGGUCCCCAGAAACCUCUCCUGAACUGGAGGCAAUGGCCCGGGCAGAAGAGAACAAGGUGCUGGACAGGGACUUCAUGAAAGCUCCUGCCAUCUGGAUCAUCUCUGCAGAACCACGAGGGACCAAGACAGGACCCAAAGUGGUGUUUGGGAAGAAGACUUUGAUGUGAGGGAAAUACAUUUGGAAGAUAAAAUCAGAUUUGAGAUUGUGUUGAUGAUGCAGACUUUGUGUAUUUGAUGUGAUUGGAUGAAUACUGAGAUUGCUGGAUUUGUGGAUGGAAUGAUUGAUGAAUGAAGCUUUACUGUGUAAAACUAGGAAUGUGUUGUUAUGUUGCUCACAAGAGGAGGGAGAUAGGGCCACAUAUGAGCUAAAUGCUUCUGCAGUCUUAUAGGGACCUCUAGUGUCUGCUGCGGUCAUUGCAGCUGAACCACAUAGCACAGAAAAGAUUCAAAUUAGCUUAGCACAGUAGUCACAGUACAAAUCUGCCUUAAGUAAUCUAUGAUUUAAAAUUAUCAUUUCACAGCUUGAGAUAGAACUAAUGAGAAAAAGUGUUUGAUUUAAGGUAAUAUUUAUGCUGACUAUGUUUUAUAGGUGUAAGUCACAUGCAUCAAGAGUAGAUGCCACUGUGUUGGAUGCUACUUUAUUUCUAAUAAAUUGAGCAUCCAAAUAAAGUUCAGUAAAUAAAAAUCUUUUUCAGGUUGCUCUUAAAUAUUUAGAAAUAUAUUUUUAGUUUAUGAAAAAGUCCUAUGCAGCGAAGUGGGGUCCAAGUACUGAAAAUCACAUAAUAACUAACUGUGAACUGUUGUCAGUUUGAUUUAUUCAAUAAAACGAUGAAAUGCAGACAGUGUCACAAUUGUGACAUUGUCAGAAAUGUAUGAAUUCAGUUAUGUGUUUACUAUGGAGGUCAUUGCAGUGGUGGGGGUAUAAUGCAUUUUAUAUUCCGAGGUGUUCCUCCCUACUUACAUACUUGAAGAGGGCAGAUUUUAUUAUUUUUUUUUAUAGUAUUAGGAAUCUGAAAAAAAAAGGUCAAAAAAGACAAUAUGUCCGUUGGAGGGUGAUUUGUUUUUGACAUCUCAAUGCAAAUAAUUAACAGUUUUACAUAUAUCUCGAUAUCUGUCUCUAUCUAUCUGACCAAAUCUAAUAUUAUCAAGGAGGACAGAAUAAUUGCAGCAAAAAAAUGGCAUCAAAAUUUCAGGUCCAGACACUCAAGCUGGGUUUUGCAGGUAAACAGCCAAUAAAAAAAAACACACACACCAACAAGUAUCCACUGCAUCUUCUUCAGGCUGUGGAGAUGCAAAGAAAUCUAGCAAUUACAGCUGCAGUACCCACAAGUGUGCAACACUGACUCCAUUCAUCAUUUUCUCUCUUUUGUCCUCUGGGAGCAUCAUACAACUAAUACAACGCAGGAAAUACAAAACUAAAGCCCUCUCACAGGCUGUUGAAAAACACUUUCCUCGGUAGGGAUGGUGUAGACAACAGGAAACAAACAUUUAGAUCAACAUAAGUAACUAAGAUAAAGCCACAAAUAAAGAUUCACUCCAACAACAACAAUAUCAGUUUAUGGUAUCUUAAAUGAAGAAAUCAGGUUUAGCACACUCAAGGGAUGUUUAGAGGGGAAAAACACUCAGAAAUAUCAAGACAAGAAGACAAAAAUAAAGAAUAAUGACCCUAAUUUCCAACCCAGGUCAUGACUAAAAGACAGAUACAAGGUCAAAAUCCUCUUCAAGGGAAGUGAU